AUUGAACGCUGGCGGAAUGCUUUACACAUGCAAGUCGAACGGCAGCACGGGUGCUUGCACCUGGUGGCGAGUGGCGAACGGGUGAGUAAUGCACCGGAACGUAUCCAAUAAUGGGGGGAUAACGCACCGAAAGGUGUGCUAAUACCGCAUACGCCCUGAGGGGGAAAGCGGGGGAUCGUAAGACCUCGCGUUAAUGGAGCGGCCGAUGCCGGAUUAGCUAGUUGGUGAGGUAAAGGCUCACCAAGGCGACGAUCCGUAGCUGGUCUGAGAGGACGACCAGCCACACUGGAACUGAGACACGGUCCAGACUCCUACGGGAGGCAGCAGUGGGAAUUUUGGACAAUGGGCGCAAGCCUGAUCCAGCCAUUCCGCGUGAGUGAAGAAGGCC
RNAcentral lists this ribosomal RNA (388 nucleotides) under uncultured bacterium. Its description in RNAcentral is "bacterial SSU rRNA". It matches the Rfam family "Bacterial small subunit ribosomal RNA", at positions 30 to 416 of the family's 1533-position model. The record is from RNAcentral.